RNAcentral lists this ribosomal RNA (484 nucleotides) under uncultured bacterium. RNAcentral describes it as "partial 16S ribosomal RNA". It matches the Rfam family "Bacterial small subunit ribosomal RNA", at positions 30 to 507 of the family's 1533-position model. The record is from RNAcentral.
AUUGAACGCUGGCGGCAGGCCUAACACAUGCAAGUCGAGCGGAUGAAGGGAGCUUGCUCCUGGAUUCAGCGGCGGACGGGUGAGUAAUGCCUAGGAAUCUGCCUGGUAGUGGGGGAUAACGUCCGGAAACGGGCGCUAAUACCGCAUACGUCCUGAGGGAGAAAGUGGGGGAUCUUCGGACCUCACGCUAUCAGAUGAGCCUAGGUCGGAUUAGCUAGUUGGUGGGGUAAAGGCCUACCAAGGCGACGAUCCGUAACUGGUCUGAGAGGAUGAUCAGUCACAUGGGAAAUGAAAAGCGCCCCGACCACCUACGGGGGGAGGCAGGGGGGAUUUUGGGAAAAGGGGGGAAGCCUUGAUCCAGCCAGGCGGGGUGUGGGAAGAAGGUUUUCGAAUUUAAAAGCAUUUUAAGUUGGGAGAAAGGGCAGAAAGUUAAUCCCUUGCUGUUUGGACUUUCCAAAAAAAAUAAGCCCCGGCAACCUUCGUC